AAACUCCAGAGUUCUGCUGAAGAGGACUGAACAAGAUUCAUUACUAUAUCUCGAAAAAAAAAAUCAUUACCGUAUUAUAAGUCAGUCGAAAACUAUCCAAAAAUCUUUUCAGGUUUCCAUGGCGUCGACGAACUCGCUCACCGCUCAGAUUUCUAAUCUUCAAUGGAAGCCUUUCGUCUCGUCACUGUCUCGCAGUAACAUUCUCUCUCUUCGCUUUGUUAAUCUUUUUAUUUAGUGAUGUAAAAGUUAUAAAAUUUUGUGUAGAGUUGGGUUAGAAGUGAGAAGCUAUUGAAAAAAUGGGGAAUUUCGAUUCGUUUGGAGUUUGCUUUUCGGUAACCUAAGUUUAAGUGGAAAUUUAGCUCGCAAGGAGGUCUGUUCAUGGUCUUGUCAUCAGACACCUGCGCGUAGCAUUAGAUCUCUCCAUGUAAAUGGUCUUUUUGGAGGGAAGAAAAACAAUAAUGAUAAGAGUGAUGGUGCACCUUCAAAGGCAGGAGUUCUUGGAAAUAUGCGGAAUCUUUAUGAGACAGUAAAAAAGGCACAAAUGGUUGUCCAAGUUGAGGCUGUGCACGUCCAGAAAGAAUUAGCUGCUCAUGUUGUUACUAAAUGCAUUUUGCUCUGAACUUCCGGAUUCAUUCAACUGGUAUAAAGUCCCUGUGUUUUUUUGUGUUACAGAGCAGAGUUUGAUGGAUAUUGUGAAGGUGAACUAAUUAAGGUAACAUUAUCUGGCAAUCAGCAACCAGUACGCACAGAGAUCACUGAGGCUGCAAUGGAAUUAGGUCCAGAGGAUACAACUCAACACUCCCCCUCAAGCUGGAGCAUAUAAAUCAUAUGCACCAAGCUUGUUACAAAUGAAAUUAAUUCGAGGCCCUCGAAGAGAUUUAGAUUUGAGGAAAUGUGGAGAGCAGUCUGAUUAUCACAAAAUAAUAACAUUUGUGAUAUUUUUGUAAACUUUAAUUCUUGGAUCAACUGCUUCAACCAGAUAAGCUCACAAGUAACUAAGAAGUAGAACGUCUGUCAGAUGAAGAACCUGCCCAGUCAGCAUCUGAAUACCCAACGAUCUGAGUAUGUCCUUUAUUUUCGUAUAACAAUCCUUUUUCAGGUGUCCUCUUAAUGUACCUCAAGAUCCGAAUAACUGUAUCCCAAUAACUGUCACAUGAAGACUGAAGGAAUUGACUUACCACACUGACAGCAAAAGAAAUAUCUGGUCCUGUGAUGGUGAGAUAAUUAAGUUUUCCAACAAGUUUUCGAUAUCUCCCAGGAUCUACAAGUGGCUCCCCCUGUCCAGGUAAGAGCUUAGUAUUAGGGUCUAUGGGAGAGUCUAUAGGUUUGCAAUCUAACAUCCCUCUUUCUUUCAGAAUAUCCAAUGCAUACUUCCUUUGAGAGAUGACAAUUCCAGAUUUAGAUUGGGCGACUUCUAUACCAAAAAAGUAUCUGAGUGGACCCAAAUCUUUGGUUUGAAAAUGACUAAACAAAUGCUUCUUUAAUUGCUCAAUACCCUCAUGGUCACUUCCUGUAAUAACAAUAUCAUCAACAUAGACCACUAGAUAGAUACAUUUGCCGUGUGGAGUAUGUCUAUAAAAUACUGAAUGAUCAGAUUCACUUCGUAGCAUGCCAAAUUCUUGAAUAACAGUACUAAACUGACCAAACCAAGCGCGAGGAGAUUGUUUUAAGCCAUAUAGAGAAAGACGAAGUUUACAAACCAAUCCAGACUCCCCUUAAGCAACAAAACCAAGAGGUUGCUCCAUAUAAAUUUCUUUUUGCAAUUCACCAUGAAGAAAGACAUUCUUGAUAUCUAACUGAUGCAAAGGCCAAUGGCCAAUUGCAGCCAUAGAGAAAAAUAGGCGAACAGAUGACAUUUUAGCAACCAGAGAGAAAGUCUCAUAAUAAUCAAGACCAAGAAACUUUCCCUAUUAUUUACUGAGGCAUACAAAGAUGCACACCAGAAGAGUGUUCAGGCGAUGAAAGAAAGAAUAAUUGAUCUUGCACAGAGCUUAGGAAUGCCACAAGGCUUAAGGGAGGGGUUAAAGUAAGAGAAUUU
Molecule: RNA transcript, 2038 nt
Organism: Mangifera indica (mango)
Lineage: Eukaryota; Viridiplantae; Streptophyta; Magnoliopsida; Sapindales; Anacardiaceae
Gene name: nucleoid-associated protein At2g24020, chloroplastic-like
Exons: 9
Source: RefSeq, a predicted model, not a curated record